GCCCGCCUCUUGUCCGAUUCGUGUUCACAAGUUCCGGUGAGUGUGUCCCAGUCGUGAUCAAAUCGUCUUAUCUUCAUAAACAGAAGAAUACCAAAGAUGUUGCCGCUUCUGCUGCUGCUAAAGUCAAAACAGUAGUCAACGAAUCGAAAACAGAGGAAACAAAGAAAACAGAACCUGAAACAGAGGAAAAACAGAGCUGUGUUUUGAAUGAGAAUCUGAAGAAGAUCACAAGACCGAACCGUUUCUUUCCCGUGACUGUGAUCUUGGUUCUUGUUUUCUUGGUUUUCUUUGGAAGAUCUGUUGCGAUCAUGUGCACUUGUAUUGCUUGGUACUUGGUACCAACGAUCAAGGAACAGAGAGGAAACAGAGGAUCUUCAUC
RNAcentral lists this long non-coding RNA (379 nucleotides) under Brassica napus (rape). Its description in RNAcentral is "long non-coding RNA (BNAP_LNC010149)". Lineage: Eukaryota; Viridiplantae; Streptophyta; Magnoliopsida; Brassicales; Brassicaceae. The record is from RNAcentral.